This 492-nucleotide ribosomal RNA is filed under the name uncultured bacterium. RNAcentral describes it as "partial 16S ribosomal RNA". It matches the Rfam family "Bacterial small subunit ribosomal RNA", at positions 29 to 507 of the family's 1533-position model. The record is from RNAcentral.
AGUGAACGCUGGCGGUAGGCCUAACACAUGCAAGUCGAACGGCAGCACAGUAAGAGCUUGCUCUUACGGGUGGCGAGUGGCGGACGGGUGAGGAAUACAUCGGAAUCUACUUUUUCGUGGGGGAUAACGUAGGGAAACUUACGCUAAUACCGCAUACGACCUACGGGUGAAAGCAGGGGAUCUUCGGACCUUGCGCGAUUGAAUGAGCCGAUGUCGGAUUAGCUAGUUGGCGGGGUAAAGGCCCACCAAGGCGACGAUCCGUAGCUGGUCUGAGAGGGUGAUCAGCCACACUGGAACUGAGACACGGUCCAGACUCCUACGGGAGGCAGCAGUGGGGAAUAUUGGACAAUGGGCGCAAGCCUGAUCCAGCCAUACCGCGUGGGUGAAGAAGGCCUUCGGGUUGUAAAGCCCUUUUGUUGGGAAAGAAAAGCAGCAGGUUAAUACCCCGCUAUUCUGACGGUACCCAAAGAAUAAGCACCGGCUAACUUCGUG